Solea senegalensis (Senegalese sole) is the source of this 1170-nucleotide long non-coding RNA. RefSeq lists it as uncharacterized. The transcript has 2 exons. The record is from RefSeq and is a predicted model, not a curated record. NCBI's taxonomy places the organism in Eukaryota, Metazoa, Chordata, Actinopteri, Pleuronectiformes, Soleidae.
CACACCCGCCAUUUCAAACAGUUAGAUUUCCAGGUCUUUCAUUCAUGCCAAGGUCCCCAAUGAGCAUGCGGAGGGAAGCCUGCCACAACCCAUCCUUUACAAAAAAAAAAAAAGUCCGCUGGCAGAUGGAGACAGAGGCCUCAAUGCCGACAGCAGCUGCCUCCGCUUCAGAUCUUCUGGCACAUGUGGAGCCUGGACUUGGACGAGGAGGUGGCAUCUUUCCACACCUUGCAGGAGAGGCCCUUGGCGCAGUCGCAGCGCUGGAAGAUUUCCAAGCCACGAGUGCCUUUCUUCCUCUGCUUAGUGCACACCUCUCCCUGCCUCAGAACCGGCUUGCAGAUCUUGGUCCAGAAAUGGCGGGCGCAACAGUAGCCCUCUGAGCAGUCUGAUGACCGCAGACAAGGGUCGCCCUCAUGCCCUAACAGAGGAAGACAGGAAAGACUUCUGAUCAGUGGUGAACCAAACGGAUGCAAACUCCUAACAGGAUAUCAAGUUGGCACAUCUCUACUUGGGGGAGAAAAACAGAAACAAAUGCUUCAUCGGAGACAUAAAAGACCCAGAUGAAAUCAUAAACCCCCAACGUCUUAAAGUUUGCCGAACAGUGAUUCAGUUAAAUAGAGGAAAGGAAAUGUGUAAUCACUGUUCAUUAAGAUGUUGUGCUGGAUCCACAGGGACAAGUUGAGCAAACGUGGAGAACGGCCUUGUCAGAGACAAAAGAGACGAAGCUUUCAACCUGAAUCCAAUCAAACAUUCUUAUUCUUCUGUAUAUCAAGCCUUAUAACUAUUGUUCUGUAAAUGAACCAUAUAGUCCCAUCUGGUCUAAGUUUGAGAUUUUUUGGCAGGAGAUUAGUAUUAACUUGAUGAAUGUAUAAUUUGUACACUUGAGUCAUGCAGAGGCUUUUUUUGUUUUCUUCUGUGAAACACGUUAUAUCACCUCUUGCCAGACGCUGCUUUAUCAUUUAGACCAGUCGUCCUGUAUCGCUGACAAAACCACACUUUGCUGAUUAGUUAUUUCAAUAUGAAGUUCCAACCGCUCGCAUGAAGGACUGCUGUUUCACACCACGGAUCGUGCGAGUGGACUUUUCUCACGCAAAGGCCAUAAUAGUGCAAUAACAUUUAAGGAGAAAGGAAUGAGUCAAACGUAAAUGAAAAUAAAUGGCCUUAUUUACA